Molecule: ribosomal RNA, 253 nt
Filed under: uncultured bacterium
Lineage: Bacteria
Description: partial 16S ribosomal RNA
Rfam family: Bacterial small subunit ribosomal RNA
Source: RNAcentral
UACGUAGGGGGCAAGCGUUGUCCGGAAUCAUUGGGCGUAAAGAGCGCGUAGGCGGCCCUGUAAGUCCGCUGUGAAAGUCAAGGGCUCAACCCUUGGAUGCCGGUGGAUACUGCAGGGCUAGAGUCCGGAAGAGGCGAGUGGAAUUCCUGGUGUAGCGGUGAAAUGCGCAGAUAUCAGGAGGAACACCAAUAGCGAAGGCAGCUCGCUGGGACGGUACUGACGCUAAGGCGCGAAAGCGUGGGGAGCGAACAGG